UACGUAGGGUGCAAGCGUUAUUCGGAUUUACUGGGCGUAAAGCGCAUGUAGGUGGUUUAGUAAGUCUGAUGUGAAAUCCCUGGACUCAAUUCAGGAACUGCAUCGGAUACUGCUUUACUUGAGUACUGGAGGGGAGAACGGAAUUCCUGGUGUAGAGGUGAAAUUCGUAGAUAUCAGGAGGAACAACGGUGGCGAAAGCGGUUCUCUGGACAGUAACUGACACUCAGAUGCGACAGCGUGGGGAGCAAACAGG
Molecule: ribosomal RNA, 253 nt
Filed under: uncultured bacterium
Lineage: Bacteria
Description: partial 16S ribosomal RNA
Rfam family: Bacterial small subunit ribosomal RNA
Source: RNAcentral